GGCGCUGGGGCGCCGGGCAAACUGUUUCAACGUGAGCCCUCCCCUUGGAGCCCAGAGGCCCAGAGGCUGGGGGAGAGGAGCCCGUCUGGGAGGGCCCCGCACGACGCAAGGCGAGUUGGCGUCGGCCUCAAGUGGACACGCUGCUGUUGUGCCCCCGCUCUUGCGCGCCCCGCAGACAUGCACCGGCGGCGGCCGGGCGCGCCCCGGGGCCUCGCCCCCGCGCGGGGACUCUGAGUGCCGCCGCCCCCGUGAGAGCUCCUGGCCGCUGGGGUUCGCAGCACUGCUGCCGCCCACAUCCAGCCAUGCGGCGCUGGGCCUGGGCCGCAGUCCUGGCCCUCCUCUGGCCACAGCUCGCCUUGCUCUGGGGAGUCGGGGCAUGGCGGGAGCCCAAGAGGCUGCGGCAGCCUGGCCAGCGCACAGAGGCCCCCAACGCCACAGCUUCUGACAGUGAAGGUCUGCCUGGCUCUCCCAAGUCGCUGGAGCCCUCAGGGCCUGAGUUCUCGGAUGCUCACAAGACGUGGUUGAACUUUGUCCGACGGCCAGAAGAUGGUUCUUCCAAGAAACGCUGUCGCUGUCAAUGCCAAGACAAGAAGUUGCGAGGCCUCUUGGGUCCCCCGGGGCCCCCUGGACCUCCAGGACCCCCAGGGCCCCCCGGUGUGGAAGUCGCCCCAGCAGCCCUGCUUCAGGAGUUCAAGGACAUGCUGAAGGAGGCCACAGAACGGCGGUUCUCAGCAUGGCCAGACCCGCCACUGUCCCGUGGGGCUGGCCCAUGGCUGAUGGUUGAGGCCUUUCACUGCCGGCUGAAGGGCCCCGUGCUGGUAGACAAGAAGACACUGGUGGAGCUGCAGGGUUUCCAGGCUCCCACUGCCCAGGGUGCUUUCCUGCGGGGGUCUGGCCUGAGCUUGGCCUCGGGCCGAUUCACAGCCCCAGUCUCUGCCAUCUUCCAGUUUUCCGCCAGCCUACACGUGGACCAUAGUGAGCUGCAGGGCAGGGCCCGGCUGCGGGCCCGGGACACUGUGCGUGUCCUCAUCUGCAUCGAGUCCCUGUGUCACCGCCACACGUCCCUGGAGGCCAUCUCAGGCCUGGAGAGCAACAGCAGGGUCUUCACGGCACAGUUGCAAGGGCUGCUGCAGCUGCAGGCUGGGCAGUAUGCCUCCGUGUUUGUGGACAACGGCUCCGGGGUGGUCCUCACCAUCCAGAGUGGCUCCAGCUUCUCUGGGCUGCUUCUGGGUACCUGAGGGUGCAGAGGGAGCACCCUGUCAGGACCUGUGAUUGCCCCUCUGAGGAAGGAGGCGAGAAGACCCCCAGUGGAUUCCUGUGGUCACAGCAAUAAAAGCCCCAGUACUCUGUUGCCCCGG
Molecule: long non-coding RNA, 1358 nt
Filed under: Ictidomys tridecemlineatus (thirteen-lined ground squirrel)
Lineage: Eukaryota; Metazoa; Chordata; Mammalia; Rodentia; Sciuridae
Description: lncRNA (ENSSTOG00000029336.1)
Source: RNAcentral